Molecule: ribosomal RNA, 457 nt
Filed under: uncultured bacterium
Lineage: Bacteria
Description: bacterial SSU rRNA
Rfam family: Bacterial small subunit ribosomal RNA
Source: RNAcentral
GAUGAACGCUAGCGAGACGCUUAACACAUGCAAGUCGAAUGCUGAUUUAUCAGCAUGGCAGACGGGUGAGUAACACGUGCUUAAUUUGCCCCGGAGUGGGGGACAACAUCGGAAACGGUGAUAAUCCCGCAUACGUUCCACAAAAUGAAAAUAUGUGGAAGAAAGAUUUAUCGCUCUGGGAGGAGGGCGCGUCUGACUAGUUAGUUGGUGAGGUAAUGGCUCACCAAGACGAUGAUCAGUAGCUGGUCUGAGAGGACGAACAGCCACAAUGGGACUGAGACAAGGCCCAUACCCCUAGGGGGGCAGCAGUGGGGAAUCUUGCGCAAUGGACGAAAGUCUGACGCAGCGAUCUCGCGUGAAGGAUGAAGCCUUUGCGGAAGUGUAAACUUCUUUUCUGGGAGAAAACAACUGAUGGUAUCUCAGGAAUAAGGGACGGCUAACUACGUGCCAGCAGCCG